GAUGAAGAACGUAGCGAAAUGCGAAAAGUAGUGUGAAUUGCAGAAUUCAGUGAAUCAUCGAAUCUUUGAACGCACAUUGCGCCCCUUGGUAUUCCAUGGGGCAUGCCUGUUCGAGCAUCAUUUGUACCUUCAAGCUCUGCUUGGUGUUGGGUGUUUGUCCCGCUUUUUGCGUGGACUCGCCUCAAAGCAAUUGGCAGCCGGCGUACUAGCCUGGGAGCGCAGCACAUUUUGCGCAUCUCGACUGGAACGCUUGCGUCCAUUAAGCCUACACUUUUGCUCUUGACCUCGGAUCAGGUAGGGAUACCCGCUGAACUUAAGCAUAUCAAUAAGCGGAGGA
This 337-nucleotide unclassified non-coding RNA is filed under the name soil metagenome. Its description in RNAcentral is "partial contains 5.8S ribosomal RNA, internal transcribed spacer 2, and large subunit ribosomal RNA". The stretch from base 1 to 120 matches the Rfam family "5.8S ribosomal RNA", at positions 35 to 154 of the family's 154-position model. The record is from RNAcentral.